CNUGGCUCAGAUUGAACGCUGGCGGCAGGCCUAACACAUGCAAGUCGGACGGUAGCACAGAGGAGCUUGCUCCUUGGGUGACGAGUGGCGGACGGGUGAGUAAUGUCUGGGGAUCUGCCCGAUAGAGGGGGAUAACCACUGGAAACGGUGGCUAAUACCGCAUAACGUCGCAAGACCAAAGAGGGGGACCUUCGGGCCUCUCACUAUCGGAUGAACCCAGAUGGGAUUAGCUAGUAGGCGGGGUAAUGGCCCACCUAGGCGACGAUCCCUAGCUGGUCUGAGAGGAUGACCAGCCACACUGGAACUGAGACACGGUCCAGACUCCUACGGGAGGCAGCAGUGGGGAAUAUUGCACAAUGGGCGCAAGCCUGAUGCAGCCAUGCCGCGUGUAUGAAGAAGGCCUUCGGGUUGUAAAGUACUUUCAGCGGGGAGGAAGGCGAUGCGGUUAAUAACCGCGUCGAUUGACGUUACCCGCAGAAGAAGCACCGGCUAACUCCGUGCCAGCAGCCGCGGUAAUACGGAGGGUGCAAGCGUUAAUCGGAAUUACUGGGCGUAAAGCGCACGCAGGCGGUCUGUUAAGUCAGAUGUGAAAUCCCCGGGCUUAACCUGGGAACUGCAUUUGAAACUGGCAGGCUUGAGUCUUGUAGAGGGGGGUAGAAUUCCAGGUGUAGCGGUGAAAUGCG
Molecule: ribosomal RNA, 683 nt
Filed under: Pantoea vagans
Lineage: Bacteria; Pseudomonadati; Pseudomonadota; Gammaproteobacteria; Enterobacterales; Erwiniaceae
Description: bacterial SSU rRNA
Rfam family: Bacterial small subunit ribosomal RNA
Source: RNAcentral